Molecule: long non-coding RNA, 637 nt
Organism: Amblyraja radiata (thorny skate)
Lineage: Eukaryota; Metazoa; Chordata; Chondrichthyes; Rajiformes; Rajidae
Exons: 2
Source: RefSeq, a predicted model, not a curated record
UGCGCGUUUGUGGUUUGGACCAGUGAUGACUAUACCAUUAGUUUCAAUAUUAUUAUGGAGAGAGUCAGAACUGGACUUUGGGUUGGGAUUUUUGAUUGGAGAAAGGCUAACUUUGAUGAGAUGCGAAAGGUUUUGAAAUGAGUGAAUUGGGACACUUUGUUUUAUGGGAAGGAUGUAGAAGAGAAAUGGAGUACAUUUAAAGGGGACAUUUUAAGAGUACAGAUUCUUUAUGUCCCUGUUCGGUUUAAAGGAAAUAGUAAAAAUUGAAAAGAGCCAUGGUUUUCAAGGAGAAUUGGCCACUUCGUUCGGAUAAAGAGACAGAUAUACAAUAAGUAUAGGCAGCAUGGAGUGAAUGAGGUGCUUGAGGAGUAAAUAAAGUGUGAAAAUAAUCUUAAAAUAGAAAUUAGAAAAGCUUAAAGAAGAUAUAAGGUUGCUUUGGCAAAUAAUGUGAAAGUAAAUCCAAAGGGUUUCUACAGCUAUAUUAAUAGCAAAAGGAUAACGAGGGAUAACAUUGGUCCAUUAGAGAGACAGAGUGGACAGCUAUCUGCAGAGCCAAAAGAGAUGGAGGAGAUAUUGAACCAUUUCUUUUCUUCUAUAUUCACCAAGGAGAACGAUAUUUAAUUAUGUGAGGUAAGGG